AACUUUCGGCAAUGGAUCACUUGGCUCUCGCAUCGAUGAAGAACGCAGCGAAAUGCGAUAAGUAAUGUGAAUUGCAGAUUUUUAGUGAAUCAUCGAAUCUUUGAACGCACCUUGCGCUCCUUGGUAUUCCGAGGAGCAUGCCUGUUUGAGUGUCAUUGAAUUCUCAACCCCACCGAUUUGCUUCGGGGGGAUUGGACUUGGAGCGUGCUGGCGAAGGUCGGCUCCUCUUUAAAUGCAUCAGUGGAGAGAAACUUGCCCCAGUGUGAUAAUCCUGUUGCGCUGUGGUGGGUGAAAGUCUGCUACCAACCGUCCCUCCGGGGACAUACAUCAUCUUAUUUUUGACCUCAAAUCAGGUAGGACUACCCGCUGAACUUAAGCAUAUCAAUAAUCGGAGGCU
RNAcentral lists this unclassified non-coding RNA (397 nucleotides) under uncultured Amphinema. Its description in RNAcentral is "sequence contains ITS2". The stretch from base 1 to 155 matches the Rfam family "5.8S ribosomal RNA". Lineage: Eukaryota; Fungi; Basidiomycota; Agaricomycetes; Atheliales; Atheliaceae. The record is from RNAcentral.